Molecule: ribosomal RNA, 407 nt
Filed under: uncultured bacterium
Lineage: Bacteria
Description: partial 16S ribosomal RNA
Rfam family: Bacterial small subunit ribosomal RNA
Source: RNAcentral
AUUGAACGCUGGCGGCAUGCCUAACACAUGCAAGUCGAGCGGAGCGGCGGACGGGUGAGUAAUGCCUAGGAAUCUGCCCGUUAGUGGGGGAUAACGUUCGGAAACGGGCCCUAAUACCACAUACUAUCAGAUGAGCCUAGGGCGGAUUAGAUAGUUGGUGGGGUAAAGGCAUACCAAGGCGACGACCCGUAACUGGACUGAGAGGAUGAUCAGUCACACUGGGACUGAGACACGGUCCAGACUCCUACGGGAGGCAGCAGUGGGGAAUAUUGGACAAUGGGCGAAAGCCUGAUCCAGCCAUGCCGCGUGUGUGAAGAAGGUCUUCGGAUUGUAAAGCACUUUGAGUUGGGAAGCGGUACCAACAGAAUAAGCACCGGCUAACUACGUGCCAGCAGCCGCGGUAAUUC